Molecule: ribosomal RNA, 254 nt
Filed under: uncultured bacterium
Lineage: Bacteria
Description: partial 16S ribosomal RNA
Rfam family: Bacterial small subunit ribosomal RNA
Source: RNAcentral
UACGGAGGGUGCAAGCGUUAUCCGGAAUCACUGGGUUUAAAGGGUGCGUAGGCGGUCUUGUAAGUCAGUCGUGAAAUCGCUGGGCUCAACCCAUGCAAUUGCGAUUGAUACUGCAGGACUUGAAUUGGGUUAAGGCAGGCGGAAUGUGACAUGUAGCGGUGAAAUGCAUAGAUAUGUCAUAGAACACCGAUUGCGAAGGCAGCCUGCUGGGCCUUGAUUGACGCUGAGGCACGAAAGCGUGGGGAGCAAACAGG